Molecule: ribosomal RNA, 1565 nt
Filed under: Lactobacillus sp. rennanqilfy11
Lineage: Bacteria; Bacillati; Bacillota; Bacilli; Lactobacillales; Lactobacillaceae
Description: bacterial SSU rRNA
Rfam family: Bacterial small subunit ribosomal RNA
Source: RNAcentral
AGAGUUUGAUCCUGGCUCAGGAUGAACGCUGGCGGCGUGCCUAAUACAUGCAAGUCGAACGAGUUCUCGUUGAUGAUCGGUGCUUGCACCGAGAUUCAACAUGGAACGAGUGGCGGACGGGUGAGUAACACGUGGGUAACCUGCCCUUAAGUGGGGGAUAACAUUUGGAAACAGAUGCUAAUACCGCAUAGAUCCAAGAACCGCAUGGUUCUUGGCUGAAAGAUGGCGUAAGCUAUCGCUUUUGGAUGGACCCGCGGCGUAUUAGCUAGUUGGUGAGGUAAUGGCUCACCAAGGCGAUGAUACGUAGCCGAACUGAGAGGUUGAUCGGCCACAUUGGGACUGAGACACGGCCCAAACUCCUACGGGAGGCAGCAGUAGGGAAUCUUCCACAAUGGACGCAAGUCUGAUGGAGCAACGCCGCGUGAGUGAAGAAGGCUUUCGGGUCGUAAAACUCUGUUGUUGGAGAAGAAUGGUCGGCAGAGUAACUGUUGUCGGCGUGACGGUAUCCAACCAGAAAGCCACGGCUAACUACGUGCCAGCAGCCGCCGGUAAUACGUAAGGUGGCAAGCGUUAUCCGGAUUUAUUGGGCGUAAAGCGAGCGCAGGCGGUUUUUUAAGUCUGAUGUGAAAGCCCUCGGCUUAACCGAGGAAGCGCAUCGGAAACUGGGAAACUUGAGUGCAGAAGGGGACAGUGGAACUCCAUGUGUAGCGGUGAAAUGCGUAGAUAUAUGGAAGAACACCAGUGGCGAAGGCGGCUGUCUGGUCUGUAACUGACGCUGAGGCUCGAAAGCAUGGGUAGCGAACAGGAUUAGAUACCCUGGUAGUCCAUGCCGUAAACGAUGAAUGCUAGGUGUUGGAGGGUUUCCGCUCUUCAGUGCCGCAGCUAACGCAUUAAGCAUUCCGCCUGGGGAGUACGACCGCAAGGUUGAAACUCAAAGGAAUUGACGGGGGCCCGCACAAGCGGUGGAGCAUGUGGUUUAAUUCGAAGCAACGCGAAGAACCUUACCAGGUCUUGACAUCUUUUGAUCACCUGAGAGAUCAGGUUUCCCCUUCGGGGGCAAAAUGACAGGUGGUGCAUGGUUGUCGUCAGCUCGUGUCGUGAGAUGUUGGGUUAAGUCCCGCAACGAGCGCAACCCUUAUGACUAGUUGCCAGCAUUUAGUUGGGCACUCUAGUAAGACCUGCCGGUGACAAACCGGAGGAAGGUGGGGAUGACGUCAAAUCAUCAUGCCCCUUAUGACCUGGGCUACACACGUGCUACAAUGGAUGGUACAACGAGUUGCGAGACCGCGAGGUCAAGCUAAUCUCUUAAAGCCAUUCUCAGUUCGGACUGUAGGCUGCAACUCGCCUACACGAAGUCGGAAUCGCUAGUAAUCGCGGAUCAGCACGCCGCGGUGAAUACGUUCCCGGGCCUUGUACACACCGCCCGUCACACCAUGAGAGUUUGUAACACCCGAAGCCGGUGGCGUAACCCUUUUAGGGAGCGAGCCGUCUAAGGUGGGACAAAUGAUUAGGGUGAAGUCGUAACAAGGUAGCCGUAGGAGAACCUGCGGCUGGAUCACCUCCUU